RNAcentral lists this transfer RNA (73 nucleotides) under Marmota monax (woodchuck). RNAcentral describes it as "tRNA.Val". It matches the Rfam family "tRNA". From Rfam's summary of the family: Transfer RNA (tRNA) molecules are approximately 80 nucleotides in length. The record is from RNAcentral. Lineage: Eukaryota; Metazoa; Chordata; Mammalia; Rodentia; Sciuridae.
UGGGGUUGUGGCUCAGCGGUAGAGCACUUGCCUAACACGUGAGAGGCCCUUGGUUCGAUCCUCAGCACCACAA